RNAcentral lists this ribosomal RNA (534 nucleotides) under Microtus thomasi (Thomas's pine vole). Its description in RNAcentral is "partial 16S ribosomal RNA". It matches the Rfam family "Bacterial large subunit ribosomal RNA", at positions 1849 to 2607 of the family's 2925-position model. Lineage: Eukaryota; Metazoa; Chordata; Mammalia; Rodentia; Cricetidae. The record is from RNAcentral.
GAGGCACUGCCUGCCCAGUGACAAACGUUCAACGGCCGCGGUAUCCUGACCGUGCAAAGGUAGCAUAAUCACUUGUUCCUUAAUUGGGGACUGGAAUGAAUGGCCUCACGAGGAUUCAACUGUCUCUUACCUCUAAUCAGUGAAAUUGACCUCCCCGUGAAGAGGCGGGGAUACAACAACAAGACGAGAAGACCCUAUGGAGCUUUAAUUUUCUGUCUUAACUACUAAAUAACUAACCCUACUGGGAUAAAAAAAAGAGAAAUAAGUCAGUAAUUUCGGUUGGGGUGACCUCGGAGAAUAAGACAACCUCCGAAUGAUUUUAACCAAGACAAACAAGUCAAAGUAUUAAAAAUCAAAUUGACCCAAUUCAUUUGAUCAACGGACCAAGUUACCCUAGGGAUAACAGCGCAAUCCUAUUCAAGAGUCCAUAUCGACAAUUAGGGUUUACGACCUCGAUGUUGGAUCAGGACAUCCCAAUGGUGCAGCAGCUAUUAAUGGUUCGUUUGUUCAACGAUUAAAGUCCUACGUGAUCUG